This 73-nucleotide transfer RNA is filed under the name Diaphorina citri (Asian citrus psyllid). It matches the Rfam family "tRNA". Rfam says of the family: Transfer RNA (tRNA) molecules are approximately 80 nucleotides in length. Their secondary structure includes four short double-helical elements and three loops (D, anti-codon, and T loops). The record is from Rfam by way of RNAcentral. Lineage: Eukaryota; Metazoa; Arthropoda; Insecta; Hemiptera; Psyllidae.
GCCUAGUUAGCUUAGUUGGUAGCGCGUCUGCCUUGUAACCGCUAAGCCGCGGGUUCGAUUCCCGCCCGGGGCG